GACGAACGCUGGCGGCGCGCCUAACACAUGCAAGUCGAACGAGCGAGAGGAGGUUUCCUUUCUCCAGCGAGUGGCGAACGGGUGAGUAACGCGUGAGGAACCUGCCUCAAAGAGGGGGACAACAGUUGGAAACGACUGCUAAUACCGCAUAAGCCCACGACCCGGCUUCGGGUAGAGGGAAAAGGAGCAAUCCGCUUUGAGAUGGCCUCGCGUCCGAUUAGCUAGUUGGUGAGGUAAUGGCCAACCAAGGCGACGAUCGGUAGCCGGACUGGGAGGUUGAACGGCGACAUUGGGACUGAGACACGGCCCAGACACCUACGGGAGGCAGCAGUGGGGAAUAUUGAACAAUAGGGGAAACCCUGAUGCAGCGACGCCGCGUGGAGGAAGAAGGUCUUCGGAUUGUAAACUCCUGUUGUUGAGGAAGAUAAUGACGGUACUCAACAAGGAAGUGACGGAUAACUACGUG
RNAcentral lists this ribosomal RNA (466 nucleotides) under uncultured bacterium. RNAcentral's name for it is "partial 16S ribosomal RNA". It matches the Rfam family "Bacterial small subunit ribosomal RNA", at positions 28 to 507 of the family's 1533-position model. The record is from RNAcentral.